GUCUUGGCAAACAGGGAGCUUGUUUUACCCUCCAGGUGAUGUCCCCACCCCUCCUUCGUCCUAUGGUCUCUUUCCACUCUUUUCAGCAGGUCUUGGAAGCAUGGCAGCUGUCUGGACUGCUCCCUGUGGAGGGUUUGGCAGCCACCAACAUCCUGCCUUUGGGUUGCUCCUGGAUCAAGCCUCGGGCAUAUGCAGAGUUGAAUAAAUUCCCAGGCUCCUGCUCUACUUGUUGGCGAUCAGUGGGGGAAAGCCAGCAAGAAUUUUCUCCGAGCAUCUGAAAUACCCUCGUGGCAGAAGAAAGAGAAUUUUUGCCUCCCGGAUUUAGGGGACUAUAAGCCGUCUGUCUAGAGGUCUGAAAUUCCUUUGAAGUCUCAUAUUUUGUCUUAAAAAAUAUCCAUGUGAACUUGGCAGUCUACUCCUUAAUAUAUUUGUGCUUAUUUAAUAUUAAGACAAAACCCUCCUUUAUAUCUUCAAGUAAAACGGAAGUUCCAAACAGAAGCAUGAUUUAAUCUUGCAGUUUCAGGAAUUAACUGGCCCACAGCUUGUACCACUGGGCACCCCAUGCUUUCAGCUGGAAAGUGCUGAUGUGUGGCAAAUGAUUCUGAUGGUCAGCUGCAAUUUCUCUGCCUUGCCAGCACCACUAUUUAAUAGGUAGAGAGGAAACUUCUUGUUUGGCGGUGUCAGGAUUUCUAGUCUUUUGCAGGAAGAUGUGAAUUGCCUGAGGCAUGAAUUUGGAUCCCAUCAUGUAAUCCUUGAAUUUCACGUAUUUCAAAGGUAUAAACACAGAAAUAGCGUAAAAGCAGGGAAUAUAAGCAGGCACAAAGAAAUCAAUCCAAUGUCACUGGCUAUUCAAAUGGCAUUGUCUUCCAGGAGACUUUUGUCUCCAAACACUGAGAAAUUGUGGAAGUAAUUAGGAGGGAACCACGUUGUGGCGGAGACAGUAAAUGACCUUAAUCUAGCCUCCCAUUACAUGUUCUUGAAAUUAGUGUGCAGGCAUUCCAGCUCGUAGACACACUCACUAUAUACACCUUGAAGAGAAGAUGCGGAUGAAAGAAGGGUAGCUCUUAUGAAGAGAGGUCACAAGCUUUCAGUUCUGGGUUGACUUUUUUUGCUCUGUGUCUUCUUGAUGCAUCAACUUAUUUUCUGUGUUUUUCUGCAUUAUCUCCGCCUUGCUCCAAAGCCUUCUAGUCAGUUAGGAGAUAUAAAGGGAAGUUUAAGAAUCCUAACAUUAGGUGGGAGGGAGGUUCGAGAGGGAUAGGACCAAUGUAUACAUAUAGUUAGUUCACUUCGUUGUACAGCAGAGAAUAACACAACUUUGUAAAGCAAUCAGACUCCAAUAAAAAAGAUGAAAAGAAAAUAAAGUUUAAAAUUUUAAACAAAGAAAAAAGAAUCCAGACAUUGAAUUUGUGGCUGGUCAUAGAGUUUGUGCUUAAUAAAGUUAGCAGUGGAAAAGUAUCCUGAGCAUUUUUCACUCAGAUAAGACUAAGAAAAUGUGGACCCCUUUGUGACUGUGCUGUGAUUUACUGUCUGCCCUUAAAUGCAGAAUGCAGCGCAUUAUGGAUUUUUGUGAAUGCUACUUGGCAUUAUAAUGAGCUUUGGCUAUCUGGGCAAAUCCUAAGGUCUCCUUGAUCCCACAUUCUGUUUCUGUUUUGUUUUAAUCUUGAAUUUUCCAGAAGACAUUCGGGAUUUUAGCCAUCACACUCCCAAGUUUUUACUCCCCAACAUAUCACCUGCAUAUUUUGAAUUGCCUGCUGGAUGUAUCCUUCAUAUUGAGAAAACAUGGCAUAGCAAACUUAAAAUUUACUAAAGAAAAUUUAUCAUCUUUUUCCCCCAAUUCUGCUCUGUAUUCUAUACCUUCCCUCAGAUAGUAGUGAAAUGGCUCAUACUUUUUCAAGUUAGAUAAUCCUCCAUCAUCUUUUGAGUUUUCUUUUUCCUGCCCUUCUACAUUCAAGUAGUUGUCUAUCAUGUCAAAUUUCUCCUAAUAUAUCUGGCAGGGUUCCCAGUGCUGUGACUUUGCUUCAUAUCAUCAAGUCUUGUUUAGAGGAUUUCUUUCCUGACUUCUGAUCCCUCUCACCUUUGGAGUAACUUAACACUGCCAUCCUGAGAUUUUUUUUUUUUGUAAAUGGGUAUAGUGGUCUCCUGCUUUAAAUUCCCAGUAAACUCUAGUUGUUCCAGGAUAAGGUUUAAAUUCAUUGUAAAUGUUGCAAGAUUGGUCCCAACUGAUGCCAGUUUAGCUCUUCAACCCAACUUUUCUCCAGCUUUCACCUGUGUGUUCGACAGUCAAGCCACAGAGAGCCUCAUUCCUCUGAAGGAUCUUUCAUGACCCUGGGUUGUUGCCACAUGAGCCCCUCUGUCUGGGAUGCUCUUUCCUUUGUUCGUAUUUCUUAUUCAUCUUUCAAGAUCAAUUUCAAAUGCCAGCUCCUUUAAAACCUGUCUACCGCUCCUCCAGUCGCAGUUACCUAUUCUGCCUCUUAUAUUUCCCAGAGCCCCGUCCCUGGCUCUUUUACGGCCGUGAUGCUUUGUCAUUCACCGGUUCACUGUUUCUCUGUAUUGUUCACUAGGUAGGAAGGUUGGGAAGACACAGAUUUGUUCAUCUCUGUGUCCCUAGGGCCUGGCACAAGUGGAUGC
This 2628-nucleotide long non-coding RNA is filed under the name Capra hircus (goat). RNAcentral describes it as "lncRNA (ENSCHIG00000006034.1)". Lineage: Eukaryota; Metazoa; Chordata; Mammalia; Artiodactyla; Bovidae. The record is from RNAcentral.